Molecule: ribosomal RNA, 253 nt
Filed under: uncultured bacterium
Lineage: Bacteria
Description: partial 16S ribosomal RNA
Rfam family: Bacterial small subunit ribosomal RNA
Source: RNAcentral
UACAGAGGGGGCAAGCGUUGUUCGGAAUUACUGGGCGUAAAGGGCGCGUAGGCGGUUGGAUAAGUCAGCUGUGAAAACCACGAGCUUAACUCGUGGCCUGCAGUUGAGACUGUCUGGCUUGAGUGUGGGAGAGGAGAGUGGAAUUCCUGGUGUAGCGGUGAAAUGCGUAGAUAUCAGGAGGAACACCGGUGGCGAAGGCGGCUCUCUGGACCACAACUGACGCUGAGGCGCGAAAGCUAGGGGAGCAAACAGG